AGUGAACGCUGGCGGUAGGCCUAACACAUGCAAGUCGAACGGCAGCACAGUAAGAGCUUGCUCUUACGGGUGGCGAGUGGCGGACGGGUGAGGAAUACAUCGGAAUCUACUUUUUCGUGGGGGAUAACGUAGGGAAACUUACGCUAAUACCGCAUACGACCUACGGGUGAAAGCAGGGGAUCUUCGGACCUUGCGCGAUUGAAUGAGCCGAUGUCGGAUUAGCUAGUUGGCGGGGUAAAGGCCCACCAAGGCGACGAUCCGUAGCUGGUCUGAGAGGAUGAUCAGCCAAACUGGAACUGAGACACGGUCCAGACUCCUACGGGAGGGAGCAGUGGGGAAUAUUGGACAAUGGGCGCAAGCCUGAUCCAGCCAUACCGCGUGGGUGAAGAAGGCCUUCGGGUUGUAAAGCCCUUUUGUUGGGAAAGAAAAGCAGCAGGUUAAUACCCCGCUGUUCUGACGGUACCCAAAGAAUAAGCACCGGCUAACUUCGUG
Molecule: ribosomal RNA, 492 nt
Filed under: uncultured bacterium
Lineage: Bacteria
Description: partial 16S ribosomal RNA
Rfam family: Bacterial small subunit ribosomal RNA
Source: RNAcentral